Xiphophorus maculatus (southern platyfish) is the source of this 2138-nucleotide long non-coding RNA. RefSeq lists it as uncharacterized. The transcript has 3 exons. Lineage: Eukaryota; Metazoa; Chordata; Actinopteri; Cyprinodontiformes; Poeciliidae. The record is from RefSeq and is a predicted model, not a curated record.
GCUUAAUGAGUGAUUAGUCAGUAUUGACUGAGAGUUUCUUCUCACUUUUUUUAAUGGUGACGCCACCUACACUUCCCAGUGUUUCCGGGACGUACGUGAACCAACAUGAAGAUCAGGGAUAACUAUUUGUUUAAAGACAUGUUCAUGUUUAUUUCAACCAGAGAAACAGAAAGUAAAACGUACUUAAAGUAAAGAUCAAACUGAGAUUCAGUAAACAGCAAACGCUGCUCUUUAAUCAGUUUUUUAAGCCAAAGUUAUGUAACAUGUUCUUAAAAGUUACAAAUGAAGAACAGAAACAUUUUAAAAGCAACACUUACCAACCGGAAAGUCUUAUUCUUGUGAAGAUAAACUUAGAUUCUUUCACUCUUCCCUCAAACUCCAGGUCAGGUGUUUACAAGUCAGUCCACGCUUCAGCUUCAGGAGCCACAACACAAAACAGCUGUCUACCACAUCUUCCUCUGAAUGAAAUGAGAUUUCCUACUCUGCUGCUGUGAGGAGUUCCCAAAAGCAGGGUCAGAAAACUGGCCUGACGGCUAUAUCGCUGCAUAGGAGAGUGUGUGACUUUUGGAAAACGGCUGAUUGGAUCUCUGAAAGUAUUUAAGGAAGGGGCGACCGAAACUAAGCACCCCCACGUCCCUUGAAGGGCCAACGAUGAUGAGGGGAUUAUUCAGGAGAUAAACUGUUGAAGAUACGAGUGGAGAGUUUUGCCACGAGCAGAAUUUAGAGAGGACAUCGUGUGUUGAGACAGGAAGAAAGCAUUCGCGAUGCAUGAUGUGACGACUGUAUUUCCUGUGAUAGAAUGCUGGAAGCGCUGAUUUCCCCUCAGGAGAAAACAAUUUACCAGAUGACCUGAACAAAGGCGGCAGUGUACUCUGAGGGUGCAUUUCAGGGAAAAUGAGGUGGUUCUCAAGAAGGAAACCGUUUUCCAGCUCAACAGGCUGCUAGCCACACUCAGCAACAAUGAAGCAACCAGAGAAAUCCCACUCUGGUCCACAUGUCUUACAGUGGAGCAGGAAGUAUCCAUACCCCUGAAAUCAAAAGCUACCACGUAGUUUACUGGUGUUUUCUGCUUCGGAGUAGAAAGAAAAGAAUAACUGGAGGAGCUGCAUGGGUUCACAGCUCAGGUUUGAGACUCAUUCAAUAGGACAGAAGAAAGAAAUUUUAAAAAAAAGUUAAUAAGCUUUAAAUCUGAUCAGAUGAGAACAAGACUGAACUUCUGACCUAAAUUCCAAAGAUUUUGCAUGUGGCAAGAUAUAUGGAGGUAAAUAUAGAACCGCCUUGGAGGAAAAGCUGUCAGAUGCACAAAAAAUCUAAGAUUGGGGCAAACAUUCAAUGGAACAGUUAGCGUCAAAGCAAAUAGCAUGGUCUAGUCAAAGUCCACCACUAAACAUCUGUGGCAAGACUUUGAAAUUGGUGCCUGCAAAUUAUCUCCAUUUUACUUGACUGAGCUUGAGAUGUUUGUUAUGAUUAAAAGUUCCCAUUUGUUGAUGUUUAACCCAAAGUGCUAACAACAGUAGUUGGAGCCACGCUUGGUUCUAUGACCUUAGAGGGAUUUUGAAAUUUAUAAUAAUAAAUAUCUGUCGAAAACAAUGAUCUUUUCGUUUGGUAGACUUCACAAGAAAAUAUUAGCUUUUUAAAUUACAAAUGUAUUUUUACAUCUAUCUGACUUUUGUUAACCACAUAUUUCUUGAAGAGGUUAACUUAUAUUUUUAUAGCGUUUCGAUGUUGCAGUUUAUGCUCCUUUCUCUCUUUUGUAUUUUUUGAUAUCACAAAUCAAAUACUGCUGGACUCUGCAAAAAUUAAUUUAUCAUAAAAUUAAAUCCUGUUAAUUUCUUUUACGAACUAGUCUGACUUCGUCAAUGUUAUAAAUGGUUCAGAAACUGAUAAGCAAAUAGACACCAUCUUGCCAAACUCCUCAGCCCUUCUUCCACAUUUUUGUCAAAAUUGGCAGAUUUUGUGUCACUAGAUCUGACUCCCACUUUUCAUUGGUGCUGCUCCCAAAAAUAAUUAUCAUUUUAUAUAUUUAAUAAUGUGGCAGGAAGAGGUGGAGGCUGCACCUGCUGGCAGGGUGAUUGCAAGCGGGCCAAUAGCGCCAGAGGGCGCUCAGUAUAAGAGGUGAGCUCCAGUCUGACGUUGUU